RNAcentral lists this ribosomal RNA (517 nucleotides) under uncultured Bacteroidota bacterium. Its description in RNAcentral is "bacterial SSU rRNA". It matches the Rfam family "Bacterial small subunit ribosomal RNA", at positions 9 to 523 of the family's 1533-position model. Lineage: Bacteria; Pseudomonadati; Bacteroidota. The record is from RNAcentral.
GAGUUUGAUCAUGGCUCAGGAUGAACGCUAGCGGGAGGCUUAAUACAUGCAAGUCGAGGGGCAGCAUGGGACUUCGGUUCUGAUGGCGACCGGCGCACGGGUGAGUAACGCGUACACAACUUUCCUUAUACUGAGGGAUAACCCUGGGAAACUGGGACUAAUACCUCAUAGUAUUAUUUAAGGGCAUUCUUGAAUAAUUAAAGGUUACGGUAUAAGAUGGGUGUGCGUCCUAUUAGCUAGUUGGUAGUGUAAUGGACUACCAAGGCGACGAUAGGUAGGGGGCGUGAGAGCGUGAACCCCCACACGGGUACUGAGACACGGACCCGACUCCUACGGGAGGCAGCAGUAAGGAAUAUUGGACAAUGGAGGCAACUCUGAUCCAGCCAUCCCGCGUGCAGGAAGACGGCCCUAUGGGUUGUAAACUGCUUUUAUAUGGGAAGAACGGCCCCGACUUGUUGGGGUAUGACGGUACCAUAGGAAUAAGCACCGGCUAACUCCGUGCCAGCAGCCGCGGUAA